RNAcentral lists this ribosomal RNA (472 nucleotides) under uncultured bacterium. Its description in RNAcentral is "bacterial SSU rRNA". It matches the Rfam family "Bacterial small subunit ribosomal RNA", at positions 355 to 825 of the family's 1533-position model. The record is from RNAcentral.
UGGGGAAUCUUGGACAAUGGGCGAAAGCCUGAUCCAGCCAUGCCGCGUGUGUGAAGAAGGUCUUCGGAUUGUAAAGCACUUUAAGUUGGGAGGAAGGGCAGUAACUUAAUACGUUGCUGUCUUGACGUUACCGACAGAAUAAGCACCGGCUAACUCUGUGCCAGCAGCCGCGGUAAUACAGAGGGUGCAAGCGUUAAUCGGAAUUACUGGGCGUAAAGCGCGCGUAGGUGGUUUGUUAAGUUGGAUGUGAAAGCCCCGGGCUCAACCUGGGAACUGCAUUCAAAACUGACAAGCUAGAGUAUGGUAGAGGGUGGUGGAAUUUCCUGUGUAGCGGUGAAAUGCGUAGAUAUAGGAAGGAACACCAGUGGCGAAGGCGACCACCUGGACUGAUACUGACACUGAGGUGCGAAAGCGUGGGGAGCAAACAGGAUUAGAUACCCCUGUAGUCCCUGAGCGGGCUGGCAAGGCGCAU